RNAcentral lists this ribosomal RNA (210 nucleotides) under Triticum aestivum (bread wheat). RNAcentral describes it as "partial small subunit ribosomal RNA". The record is from RNAcentral. Lineage: Eukaryota; Viridiplantae; Streptophyta; Magnoliopsida; Poales; Poaceae.
AUGGUACCUAACCUUCUUCUUUCACGUCUUUCCAUAGAGGGGAACAGCCGGUUGUGUGUCUCUGUCAGGGACUACUACUAUUACCAGCUACAGACGCGCCCUGCGAUAUUCAACCCCAUACUACGUGGAGCACGCUUGUUUCAGCAGUGGGGUGUCGACAUGUUCAUCAAGAUUGAGGGAUGUAGGCUGAAGUGGAUCAGGGACCACUAG